This 519-nucleotide ribosomal RNA is filed under the name uncultured bacterium. RNAcentral's name for it is "bacterial SSU rRNA". It matches the Rfam family "Bacterial small subunit ribosomal RNA", at positions 770 to 1281 of the family's 1533-position model. The record is from RNAcentral.
ACUCAAUAGAUACCCUGGUAGUCCACGCCGUAAACGAUGAGUGCUAAGUGUUAGAGGGUUUCCGCCCUUUAGUGCUGCAGCUAACGCAUUAAGCACUCCGCCUGGGGAGUACGGUCGCAAGACUGAAACUCAAAGGAAUUGACGGGGGCCCGGCCACAAGCGGUGGAGCAUGUGGUUUAAUUUACGAAGCAACGCGAAGAACCUUACCAGGUCUUGACAUCCUCUGACAACUCUAGAGAUAGAGCGUUCCCCUUCCGGGGGUACGAGAGUGACAGGUGGUGCAUGGUUGUCGUCAGCUCGUGUCGUGAGAUGUUGGGUUAAGUCCCGCAACGAGCGCAACCCUUGAUCUUAGUUGCCAGCAUUUAGUUGGGUCACUCUAAGGUGACUGCCGGUGACAAACCGGAGGAAGGUGGGGAUGACGUCAAAUCAUCAUGCCCCUUAUGACCUGGGUCUACACACGUGCUACAAUGGAUGGUACAAAGGGCUGCAAGACCGCGAGGUCAAGCCAAUCCCAUAAAA